UUAUACAUGCAAGUCGAGGGGUAACGAUGGAGCUUGCUCCAGGCGACGACCGGCGCACGGGUGAGUAACGCGUACACAACCUACCUUCAAGAGGGGCAUAGCCUCGGGAAACUGAGAUUAAUACCCCAUAGCAUUAUCAAUUUUAUGAAUAGAUAAUUAAAGAUCCGUCGCUUGAAGAUGGGUGUGCGUAGGAUUAGAUAGUUGGUGAGGUAACGGCUCACCAAGUCGACGAUCCUUAGGGGGCGUGAGAGCGUGGCCCCCCACACGGGUACUGAGACACGGACCCGACUCCUACGGGAGGCAGCAGUAAGGAAUAUUGGACAAUGGGGGCAACCCUGAUCCAGCCAUCCCGCGUGCAGGAUGACGGCCCUAUGGGUUGUAAACUGCUUUUAGAAGGGACGAAACUUUGGGAUUUAUCCCGAACUGACGGUACCUUCAGAAUAAGCACCGGCUAACUCCGUGCCAGCAGCCGCGGUAAUACGGAGGGUGCAAGCGUUAUCCGGAAUCACUGGGUUUAAAGGGUGCGUAGGCGGCAUUGUAAGUCAGAUGUGAAAGCCCACCGCUUAACGGUGGAACUGCAUUUGAUACUGCAAAGCUUGAAUCAGGCUGAGGUCAGCGGAAUGUGUCAUGUAGCGGUGAAAUGCAUAGAUAUGACAUAGAACACCAAUUGCGAAGGCAGCUGGCUAGACCUGUAUUGACGCUGAGGCACGAAAGCGUGUGGAGCGAACAGGAUUAGAUACCCUGGUAGUCCACGCCCUAAACGAUGCUAACUCGAUGUUCGAAUC
This 785-nucleotide ribosomal RNA is filed under the name uncultured marine bacterium. RNAcentral describes it as "bacterial SSU rRNA". It matches the Rfam family "Bacterial small subunit ribosomal RNA", at positions 49 to 830 of the family's 1533-position model. The record is from RNAcentral.